This 163-nucleotide ribosomal RNA is filed under the name candidate division WWE3 bacterium RIFCSPLOWO2_01_FULL_41_9. RNAcentral's name for it is "partial 16S ribosomal RNA". It matches the Rfam family "Bacterial small subunit ribosomal RNA", at positions 1336 to 1510 of the family's 1533-position model. Lineage: Bacteria; candidate division WWE3. The record is from RNAcentral.
UAGUAAUCGCAGGUCAGCUAUACUGCGGUGAAUACGUUCUCGGGUCUUGCACACACUGCCCGUCACGCCAGCAAAGCUGGGGCCACCUUAAGUCUCUUAUUUUAAGGGCCCAAGGUGGAAUCAGUGAUGAGGGUGAAGUCGUAACAAGGUAGCCGUAGGGGAA